This 253-nucleotide ribosomal RNA is filed under the name uncultured bacterium. Its description in RNAcentral is "partial 16S ribosomal RNA". It matches the Rfam family "Bacterial small subunit ribosomal RNA", at positions 524 to 776 of the family's 1533-position model. The record is from RNAcentral.
UACGGAGGGUGCGAGCGUUGUUCGGAAUCACUGGGCGUAAAGCGCGUGUAGGCGGCCUCCCAAGUCUGAUGUGAAAGCCCGGGGCUCACCCCCGGAAGUGCAUUGGAAACUGUGAGGCUCGAGUCCCGGAGAGGAGGGUGGAAUUCCUGGUGUAGCGGUGAAAUGCGUAGAUAUCAGGAGGAACACCGGUGGCGAAGGCGGCCCUCUGGACGGUGACUGACGCUGAGACGCGAAAGCGUGGGGAGCAAACAGG